CUGUCAGGGCCAUCCCCUACCUCUAGCCGGUUGCCAUGGUCGAGCCGUGCCCCCACUCCUCCACCGAUUACGCGCCACCCCGCCACCCAUCUCCACCCCCUGCGCCCGAACCCAUCGUGCGACCGCGUCACCCUCCUCCUCUCUCCUCCCCCACUCCCUCCGCGGGAAUCGGCGCCGAACCGCCGCCACCACCCCCACGUCGCCGCCCUCACUCCGGCCGGAAAAUCCACCACUCUCGGCCGUGAUCCCUCUCCCCCGCUCCCAAAAAAAGGUUGCGGUGUACCCCGGCAACCUCCUCCCAACGCCAGAGCUCGCCGGAAUUCCGACAUCGCCGUUGCCUCCCCUAGGUGCCGUUGUCGUCUUCCCGUCGCCUUCUCACCGUUGCAUGAGCUCGGUUUUUCCUCGUUUUGCGUGCCAACGUGUAGAAUCUGUCGUUUCGGAAGUGAGCAGUUGCGAGGAAAAGAGUUUGGAAGAUUGUUUGAAGAAGCAAGGCAAGUCACACAUUCCCCCUUGAGCAGGUUGAUCCCAAUUUAUAAAUGUUUUACCAUUUGCAAAUAAAUAUGCAUGUUUUGCUAAUUAAAUUGGAUCCGGGUAUUACCUAUCUACUCGCUUGUGCCAUGUUUACUUGAUAUCCGUUCUUUGUUAACUUGGGCGAUAAUUCGACUAGCUCAUGUUACUUAUGUGACCUAGCUAGAACUAUAUGCUUAGCCAUGCUUAAUUACCACUAGCUCAGUCAAUGGGAUAUUUACAGUAUUAGACAUUUUAGUAUCAGAACGAGUUAUGUGCUCGAGACAUCGACCAUGUUUUAUUGGCCAUAAUUACCAAACUAAAAUGUGACAUAAUGGUGGGCUGUGAGUGGAUGGUUUUGCUAAUCACACCCAUGGCAAUUAAGGACCGGUUCGCGGGAUGCACUGGAAGACUUAUCGCGCUUACCACAAGCGGGAAUGGGUAACUGCUUGAUCUAUAGUAUAGCUUUCGUCUAGUUGACGUUCCUAGGCUAGGGUGAGCGUGAUGGAGUUGGGUCGACCGGGGUCUUCAGUUGAUCGGCUUUUGGAUUCACCGUGGCAUGAGGGGGGCCUGCCCGUUGCUUGCUGGGGGCGAGGGCGAAACCUGAGGUGUGGUGCGAUUGGUCAGAGGGGGUUAUAUGAAGGGUCUUGUCACAAUCACUCGACAUGGUGACAUGUUCACCAUGGGCGGAUGAUGACGCGGUGACA
Molecule: long non-coding RNA, 1214 nt
Organism: Oryza sativa Japonica Group (Japanese rice)
Lineage: Eukaryota; Viridiplantae; Streptophyta; Magnoliopsida; Poales; Poaceae
Source: RefSeq, a predicted model, not a curated record